Molecule: transfer RNA, 86 nt
Filed under: Deltaproteobacteria bacterium
Lineage: Bacteria; Pseudomonadati; Myxococcota; Myxococcia
Description: tRNA-Ser
Rfam family: tRNA
About the family: Transfer RNA (tRNA) molecules are approximately 80 nucleotides in length. Their secondary structure includes four short double-helical elements and three loops (D, anti-codon, and T loops).
Source: RNAcentral
GGAAGGGUGGCCGAGUGGCUUAAGGCGACGGUCUUGAAAACCGUUGGGCGCAAGCCCCGGGGGUUCGAAUCCCUCCCCUUCCGCCA